AUCACACGUGUCAGUUUACGAAUAUUUUCAAGUCUCACGGCACGACUUUAUAUCUGUUGGCUGAUCUUACGGGAGGACAGGAGAGAGAAUUUUCUGUUGCCAAGUGUUAUGAAGUGGAAUGAAGAGAUACAGCAGGAACAAGUGUUAAUUGGAACGAUCAAAUUUUAAUAGAAGCAAAAUCUGAUAAACAAGAUGCAUAUCUACAGAAAGCAACGAACCUCGCAGCCAGGUUAUCGACCAUCGCCAAC
RNAcentral lists this unclassified non-coding RNA (248 nucleotides) under Bombus terrestris (buff-tailed bumblebee). RNAcentral describes it as "misc RNA ENSBTSG00005035826.1". The record is from RNAcentral. Lineage: Eukaryota; Metazoa; Arthropoda; Insecta; Hymenoptera; Apidae.